AUACGGAGGGUGCAAGCGUUAUUCGGAAUUACUGGGCGUAAAGCGCGCGUAGGCGGAUGAUUAAGUCAGUUGUGAAAGCCCUGGGCUCAACCUAGGAACUGCAUCUGAUACUGGUCGUCUAGAGUUUAAGAGAGGGAAGUGAAUUCCAGGUGUAGCAGUGAAAUGCGUAGAUAUCUGGAGGAACAUCAGUGGCGAAGGCGACUUCCUGGCUUAAAACUGACGCUGAGGUGCGAAAGCGUGGGUAGCGAACGGGAUUAGAAACCCCAGUAGUCC
Molecule: ribosomal RNA, 273 nt
Filed under: uncultured bacterium
Lineage: Bacteria
Description: partial 16S ribosomal RNA
Rfam family: Bacterial small subunit ribosomal RNA
Source: RNAcentral